Molecule: unclassified non-coding RNA, 422 nt
Filed under: uncultured fungus
Lineage: Eukaryota; Fungi
Description: partial contains small subunit ribosomal RNA, internal transcribed spacer 1, and 5.8S ribosomal RNA
Rfam family: Eukaryotic small subunit ribosomal RNA (bases 1-73)
Source: RNAcentral
GCAAACUUGGUCAUUUAGAGGAAGUAAAAGUCGUAACAAGGUUUCCGUAGGUGAACCUGCGGAAGGAUCAUUAAUGAAUAAACUUGGUGGGUUGUAGCUGGCUCUUCGGAGCAUGUGCACGCCUAUCACCUUUAUCUAUCCACCUGUGCACAAUCUGUAGUCUUGAGAGGGAUGAGAGCAGCUUGAAAAGCCUUCCUUUACCCUGAUUUGAGGAGUUGCUAUGCGAAAAGUGUGGCUUUCCUUGUUAACUUAAUGGAAAGAGAAGGGGAUUCAUGUUGUAACUUUCUCUUGAGUCUAUGUAUCUUCAUACACUACAUAGCCAGUCAUAGAAUGUAUAAUUCAAUGGGCCUUUGUGCCUAUAGAAACACUAUACAACUUUCAGCAACGGAUCUCUUGGCUCUCGCAUCGAUGAAGAACGCAGC